AAAUUGAAGAGUUUGAUCAUGGCUCAGAUUGAACGCUGGCGGCAGGCCUAACACAUGCAAGUCGAACGGUAGCACAGAGAGCUUGCUCUCGGGUGACGAGUGGCGGACGGGUGAGUAAUGUCUGGGAAACUGCCCGAUGGAGGGGGAUAACUACUGGAAACGGUAGCUAAUACCGCAUAACGUCGCAAGACCAAAGUGGGGGACCUUCGGGCCUCACACCAUCGGAUGUGCCCAGAUGGGAUUAGCUAGUAGGUGGGGUAACGGCUCACCUAGGCGACGAUCCCUAGCUGGUCUGAGAGGAUGACCAGCCACACUGGAACUGAGACACGGUCCAGACUCCUACGGGAGGCAGCAGUGGGGAAUAUUGCACAAUGGGCGCAAGCCUGAUGCAGCCAUGCCGCGUGUAUGAAGAAGGCCUUCGGGUUGUAAAGUACUUUCAGCGAGGAGGAAGGCGUUGUGGUUAAUAACCACAGCGAUUGACGUUACUCGCAGAAGAAGCACCGGCUAACUCCGUGCCAGCAGCCGCGGUAAUACGGAGGGUGCAAGCGUUAAUCGGAAUUACUGGGCGUAAAGCGCACGCAGGCGGUUUGUUAAGUCAGAUGUGAAAUCCCCGGGCUCAACCUGGGAACUGCAUUUGAAACUGGCAAGCUUGAGUCUCGUAGAGGGGGGUAGAAUUCCAGGUGUAGCGGUGAAAUGCGUAGAGAUCUGGAGGAAUACCGGUGGCGAAGGCGGCCCCCUGGACAAAGACUGACGCUCAGGUGCGAAAGCGUGGGGAGCAAACAGGAUUAGAUA
This 792-nucleotide ribosomal RNA is filed under the name Salmonella enterica. RNAcentral's name for it is "bacterial SSU rRNA". It matches the Rfam family "Bacterial small subunit ribosomal RNA", at positions 1 to 784 of the family's 1533-position model. The record is from RNAcentral. Lineage: Bacteria; Pseudomonadati; Pseudomonadota; Gammaproteobacteria; Enterobacterales; Enterobacteriaceae.